AGAGUUUGAUCCUGGCUCAGGAUGAACGCUAGCGACAGGCUUAACACAUGCAAGUCGAGGGGCAGCGGGGGUGAUGGCUUGCCAUCACCUGCCGGCGACCGGCGCACGGGUGAGUAACACGUAUGCAACCUGCCCGCCACAGGGGGAUAAGCGGAAGAAAUUCCGUCUAAUACCGCGUGACGCGGCGUCGGGGCAUCCCGGUGCCGCCAAAGGGAUUACCGGUGGCGGAUGGGCAUGCGGCGCAUUAGCUAGUCGGCGGGGUAACGGCCCACCGAGGCGACGAUGCGUAGGGGUUCUGAGAGGAAGGUCCCCCACACUGGUACUGAGACACGGACCAGACUCCUACGGGAGGCAGCAGUGAGGAAUAUUGGUCAAUGGGCGGGAGCCUGAACCAGCCAAGUCGCGUGAGGGAUGACGGUCCUACGGAUUGUAAACCUCUUUUGCCGGGGAGCAAGCGUGCGUUCGUGAACGCGCGUCGAGAGUACCCGGAGAAAAAGCAUCGGCUAACUCCGUGCCAGCAGCCGCGGUAAUACGGAGGAUGCGAGCGUUAUCCGGAUUUAUUGGGUUUAAAGGGUGCGUAGGCGGGAUGCCAAGUCAGCGGUAAAAAUGCGGUGCUCAACGCCGUCGAGCCGUUGAAACUGGCGUUCUUGAGUGGGCGAGAAGUAUGCGGAAUGCGUGGUGUAGCGGUGAAAUGCAUAGAUAUCACGCAGAACUCCGAUUGCGAAGGCAGCAUACCGGCGCCCUACUGACGCUGAGGCACGAAAGCGUGGGUAUCGAACAGGAUUAGAUACCCUGGUAGUCCACGCAGUAAACGAUGAAUGCUAACUGUCCGGUGCGAGUGAGCGCUGGGCGGUACAGCGAAAGCGUUAAGCAUUCCACCUGGGGAGUACGCCGGCAACGGUGAAACUCAAAGGAAUUGACGGGGGCCCGCACAAGCGGAGGAACAUGUGGUUUAAUUCGAUGAUACGCGAGGAACCUUACCCGGGCUCAAACGCAGGAUGACGGGUCCCGAAAGGGGCCUUUCUUCGGACAUUCUGCGAGGUGCUGCAUGGUUGUCGUCAGCUCGUGCCGUGAGGUGUCGGCUUAAGUGCCAUAACGAGCGCAACCCCUGUCCACAGUUGCCAGCAGGUAAAGCUGGGGACUCUGUGGAGACUGCCGGCGCAAGCUGCGAGGAAGGCGGGGAUGACGUCAAAUCAGCACGGCCCUUACGUCCGGGGCGACACACGUGUUACAAUGGCAGGUACAGCGGGAUGCCACGGGGCGACCCGGCGCUGAACCCGAAAACCUGUCUCAGUUCGGAUUGGAGUCUGCAACCCGACUCCAUGAAGCUGGAUUCGCUAGUAAUCGCGCAUCAGCCACGGCGCGGUGAAUACGUUCCCGGGCCUUGCACUCGCCGCCCGUCA
RNAcentral lists this ribosomal RNA (1403 nucleotides) under uncultured bacterium. Its description in RNAcentral is "16S ribosomal RNA". It matches the Rfam family "Bacterial small subunit ribosomal RNA". The record is from RNAcentral.